This 581-nucleotide ribosomal RNA is filed under the name Nitratireductor sp. RNAcentral describes it as "bacterial SSU rRNA". It matches the Rfam family "Bacterial small subunit ribosomal RNA", at positions 56 to 685 of the family's 1533-position model. The record is from RNAcentral. Lineage: Bacteria; Pseudomonadati; Pseudomonadota; Alphaproteobacteria; Hyphomicrobiales; Phyllobacteriaceae.
UGCAAGUCGAGCGCCCCCUCGGGGGAGCGGCAGACGGGUGAGUAAUGCAUGGGAAUCUACCUGGCUCUACGGAAUAACUCAGGGAAACUUGAACUAAUACCGUAUACGUCCUCCGGGAGAAAGAUUUAUCGGAGUUAGAUGAGCCCAUGUCUGAUUAGCUAGUUGGUGAGGUAAAGGCUCACCAAGGCGACGAUCAGUAGCUGGUCUGAGAGGAUGAUCAGCCACACUGGGACUGAGACACGGCCCAGACUCCUACGGGAGGCAGCAGUGGGGAAUAUUGGACAAUGGGCGCAAGCCUGAUCCAGCCAUGCCGCGUGAGUGAUGAAGGCCCUAGGGUUGUAAAGCUCUUUCACCGGUGAAGAUAAUGACGGUAACCGGAGAAGAAGCCCCGGCUAACUUCGUGCCAGCAGCCGCGGUAAUACGAAGGGGGCUAGCGUUGUUCGGAAUUACUGGGCGUAAAGCGCGCGUAGGCGGAUCGGUCAGUUAGGGGUGAAAUCCCGGGGCUCAACCCCGGAACUGCCUCUAAUACUGCCGAUCUAGAGUUCGAGAGAGGUGAGUGGAAUUCCGAGUGUAGAGGUGAA